Molecule: ribosomal RNA, 253 nt
Filed under: uncultured bacterium
Lineage: Bacteria
Description: partial 16S ribosomal RNA
Rfam family: Bacterial small subunit ribosomal RNA
Source: RNAcentral
UACGAAGGGGGCUAGCGUUGCUCGGAAUCACUGGGCGUAAAAGGUGCGUAGGCGGGUUAUUAAGUCAGAGGUGAAAUCCUGGAGCUCAACUCCAGAACUGCCUUUGAUACUGAUAGUCUUGAGUAUGGGAGAGGUGAGUGGAACUGCGAGUGUAGAGGUGAAAUUCGUAGAUAUUCGCAAGAACACCAGUGGCGAAGGCGGCUCACUGGCCCAUUACUGACGCUGAGACGCGAAAGCGUGGGGAGCGAACAGG